RNAcentral lists this long non-coding RNA (800 nucleotides) under Nicotiana benthamiana. RNAcentral describes it as "long non-coding RNA (NBEN_LNC022274)". Lineage: Eukaryota; Viridiplantae; Streptophyta; Magnoliopsida; Solanales; Solanaceae. The record is from RNAcentral.
AUGAACUUUGUAGUUAAUUGUAGUUACUUGUAGGUACAUAUAGACGAUUACAAGGUUCGUGCACUUGACAAGUUUACAACUUCUUCAAGCAAGAAUGCGAUACUUUCCAGUGUGAGGAAGGACUAAUGAACAAGACAAGAUUACAAACAACACUUUUAAACAAAGAACUGAUAAUCUGAAAAAUAGAAUGAACAAAACAAGAUUACAACUGACACUUUAAACCAAGAACAAUAAUAAAAAAUAGAUCAAAAGAAUGAAAUAAUCUCGAAAGAAAAAUCUGAAAAUUGAAUGAACUCGGAUUUGAACUAUUAGAGGUUGGAUGGACUGUAGUGAGUGUUGUUGCUCAUUCAUAGACGAGCUGGCACUCGGACAGCAGCAGUGGUCGUCGUCCAUGGUUGUGACUAUGGAGUUUCGCCACUGCUCGCCAGGUUGACGACGGACAGCAACUGGAGGGGAACCGGCGGGGGGAGGGGGGGCUCGUCUGGUUCAUUGAACAACUGGAGGCGGGGUUGACAAUUUUAGCUGGUCGUGGAGGUUGACGAUAGCCGGAGAAGGUAGUGAUCGUUUGGCUAUGGAGCUGGCGACUGGUUCAAGGGUGGCUGGAGAAGACGACGAAGCACCAACGAUGAAGGGUGAAAUGAAACCUUAAGAUGUGGCAUGCUAUUACUGAAAGACUGAUGAUUGUGUUAAUUUAGAGGCUUUAGUUAUCGAACUGAAAGACAUGAGCCUCUUUCCAUUGUAAAUCACAAUCAGUUGCUUACUGAAAGACUGAUGAUUAUGUAAAAUAUAUGAAAAGAUCU